GGCGUAAGGGCUCGCAGGCGGUUUCUUAAGUCUGAUGUGAAAGCCCCCGGCUCAACCGGGGAGGGUCAUUGGAAACUGGGGAACUUGAGUGCAGAAGAGGAGAGUGGAAUUCCACGUGUAGCGGUGAAAUGCGUAGAGAUGUGGAGGAACACCAGUGGCGAAGGCGACUCUCUGGUCUGUAACUGACGCUGAGGAGCGAAAGCGUGGGGAGCGAACAGGAUUAGAUACCCUGGUAGUCCACGCCGUAAACGAUGAGUGCUAAGUGUUAGGGGGUUUCCGCCCCUUAGUGCUGCAGCUAACGCAUUAAGCACUCCGCCUGGGGAGUACGGUCGCAAGACUGAAACUCAAAGGAAUUGACGGGGGCCCGCACAAGCGGUGGAGCAUGUGGUUUAAUUCGAAGCAACGCGAAGAACCUUACCAGGUCUUGACAUCCUCUGACAAUCCUAGAGAUAGGACGUCCCCUUCGGGGGCAGAGUGACAGGUGGUGCAUGGUUGUCGUCAGCUCGUGUCGUGAGAUGUUGGGUUAAGUCCCGCAACGAGCGCAACCCUUGAUCUUAGUUGCCAGCAUUCAGUUGGGCACUCUAAGGUGACUGCCGGUGACAAACCGGAGGAAGGUGGGGAUGACGUCAAAUCAUCAUGCCCCUUAUGACCUGGGCUACACACGUGCUACAAUGGACAGAACAAAGGGCAGCGAAACCGCGAGGUUAAGCCAAUCCCACAAAUCUGUUCUCAGUUCGGAUCGCAGUCUGGCACUCGACUGCGUGAAGCUGGAAUCGCUAGUAAUCGCGGAUCAGCAUG
This 798-nucleotide ribosomal RNA is filed under the name Bacillus subtilis. Its description in RNAcentral is "bacterial SSU rRNA". It matches the Rfam family "Bacterial small subunit ribosomal RNA", at positions 557 to 1356 of the family's 1533-position model. The record is from RNAcentral. Lineage: Bacteria; Bacillati; Bacillota; Bacilli; Caryophanales; Bacillaceae.